UAGGGAAUCUUCGGCAAUGGGGGGAACCCUGACCGAGCAACGCCGCGUGAGUGAAGAAGGUUUUCGGAUCGUAAAGCUCUGUUGUUAAGGAAGAACGAGUGUGAGAAUGGAAAGUUCAUGCUGUGACGGUACUUAACCAGAAAGGGACGGCUAACUACGUGCCAGCAGCCGCGGUAAUACGUAGGUCCCGAGCGUUGUCCGGAUUUAUUGGGCGUAAAGCGAGCGCAGGCGGUUAGAAAAGUCUGAAGUGAAAGGCAGUGGCUCAACCAUUGUAGGCUUUGGAAACUGUUUAACUUGAGUGCAGAAGGGGAGAGUGGAAUUCAAUGUGUAGCGGUGAAAUGCGUAGAUAUAUGGAGGAACACCGGUGGCGAAAGCGGCUCUCUGGUCUGUAACUGACGCUGAGGCUCGAAAGCGUGGGGAGCGAACAGG
Molecule: ribosomal RNA, 429 nt
Filed under: Bacteroidota bacterium
Lineage: Bacteria; Pseudomonadati; Bacteroidota
Also listed under: 1 other name
Description: Bacteroidetes bacterium partial 16S ribosomal RNA
Rfam family: Bacterial small subunit ribosomal RNA
Source: RNAcentral